CCUACGGGAGGCAGCAGUGGGGAAUUUUGGACAAUGGACGCAAGUCUGAUCCAGCCAUGCCGCGUGUGGGAAGAAGGCCUUCGGGUUGUAAACCACUUUUGUCAGGGAAGAAACGGCUCGGGUUAAUACCUUGGGCUAAUGACGGUACCUGAAGAAUAAGCACCGGCUAACUACGUGCCAGCAGCCGCGGUAAUACGUAGGGUGCAAGCGUUAAUCGGAAUUACUGGGCGUAAAGCGUGCGCAGGCGGUUAUGCAAGACAGAUGUGAAAUCCCCGGGCUCAACCUGGGAACUGCAUUUGUGACUGCAUGGCUAGAGUACGGUAGAGGGGGAUGGAAUUCCGCGUGUAGCAGUGAAAUGCGUAGAUAUGCGGAGGAACACCGAUGGCGAAGGCAAUCCCCUGGACCUGUACUGACGCUCAUGCACGAAAGCGUGGGGAGCAAACAGGAUUAGAUACCCUGGUAGUCCACGCCCUAAACGAUGUCAACUGGUUNUUGGGAGGGUUUCUUCUCAGUAACGUAGCUAACGCGUGAAGUUGACCGCCUGGGG
RNAcentral lists this ribosomal RNA (547 nucleotides) under uncultured bacterium. RNAcentral's name for it is "bacterial SSU rRNA". It matches the Rfam family "Bacterial small subunit ribosomal RNA", at positions 338 to 878 of the family's 1533-position model. The record is from RNAcentral.